CUGCAGUCGAGCGAGACCAGGGCUUCGGCCCUGGGGAAAGCGGCGAACGGGUGAGUAACACGUGAGUAAUCCACCCUCGGUACCGGGAUAGCCCGGGGAAACCCGGAUUAAUACCGGAUGGCCCGACAGCCUCUCGAGGCGGUCGGAAAAGAUAGCUUCGGCCUUCGACCGAGGACGAGCUCGCGGCGGAUUAGCUUGUUGGCGGGGUAACGGCCCACCAAGGCGACGAUCCGUAGCUGGUCUGAGAGGACGAUCAGCCACACUGGGACUGAGACACGGCCCAGACUCCUACGGGAGGCAGCAGUGGGGAAUCUUGCGCAAUGGGCGAAAGCCUGACGCAGCGACGCCGCGUGCGGGAAGAAGGCCUUCGGGUUGUAAACCGCUUUCAGGAGGGACGAAGCCACUCGGGUUAAUAGCCCAGAGGGUGACGGUACCUCCAGAAGAAGCCCCGGCUAACUACGUGCCAGCAGCCGCGGUAAUACGUAGGGGGCAAGCGUUGUCCGGAUUUAUUGGGCGUAAAGAGCGUGUAGGCGGCCAUACAGGUCCGUUGUGAAAACUGGAGGCUUAACCUCCAGACGUCGAUGGAAACCGUAUGGCUAGAGUCCGGAAGAGGAGAGUGGAAUUCCUGGUGUAGCGGUGAAAUGCGCAGAUAUCAGGAAGAACACCCGUGGCGAAGGCGGCUCUCUGGGACGGUACUGACGCUGAGACGCGAAAGCGUGGGGAGCGAACAGGAUUAGAUACCCUGGUAGUCCACGCCGUAAACGAUGGGUGCUAGGUGUGGGGGGUGUCGACUCCCUCCGUGCCGCAGCUAACGCAUUAAGCACCCCGCCUGGGGAGUACGGCCGCAAGG
RNAcentral lists this ribosomal RNA (850 nucleotides) under uncultured bacterium. RNAcentral describes it as "bacterial SSU rRNA". It matches the Rfam family "Bacterial small subunit ribosomal RNA", at positions 55 to 893 of the family's 1533-position model. The record is from RNAcentral.